This 517-nucleotide ribosomal RNA is filed under the name Vibrio sp. M2-C16. RNAcentral's name for it is "bacterial SSU rRNA". It matches the Rfam family "Bacterial small subunit ribosomal RNA", at positions 1 to 495 of the family's 1533-position model. Lineage: Bacteria; Pseudomonadati; Pseudomonadota; Gammaproteobacteria; Vibrionales; Vibrionaceae. The record is from RNAcentral.
UGAGCUUGAUCCUGCUAGAGUUUGGAUCAUGGCUCAGAUUGAACGCUGGCGGCAGGCCUAACACAUGCAAGUCGAGCGGUAACAGGAAGGAAGCUUGCUUUCUUUGCUGACGAGCGGCGGACGGGUGAGUAAUGCCUGGGAAAUUGCCCUGAUGUGGGGGAUAACCAUUGGAAACGAUGGCUAAUACCGCAUGAUACCUUCGGGUCAAAGAGGGGGACCUUCGGGCCUCUCGCGUCAGGAUAUGCCCAGGUGGGAUUAGCUAGUUGGUGAGGUAAUGGCUCACCAAGGCGACGAUCCCUAGCUGGUCUGAGAGGAUGAUCAGCCACACUGGAAGUGAGACACGGUCCAGACUCCUGCGGGAGGCACGCAGUGGGGAAUAUUGCACAAUGGGCGCAAUGCCUGAUGCACGCCAUGCCGCGUGUAUGAAGAAGGCCUUCGGGUUGUAAAGUACUUUCAGUGGUGAGGAAGGGAGUGUGGUUAAUAGCCAUAUUCUUGACGUAGCCACAGAAAAGCCCGA